GCAAAGUCAAGUGUAGACAGAAAUACUGGACUAGGUUUUGUGAAGUGAUACCCCUUGCAGGCUACCAGUUACCUUGUUUCUGGGAAAUGAUGAAGUCACUGGAGGGGAGUCUGGCCUUUGGCAGCAGCUGGACUGUGACUUCUGGCUGUGGCACAUAGUGGUCUGUAGGACAAUUGUGGCAAGAGUCAGGACCAUGGAGAGCUCCUAUGGAAAAAGAUUCCAGACUCACUGACCACAUUCACAUGUCAUGAUUGAUUUACCAGGACAGUUGCGUUUUAACACUACAGACCUUACUACUUAGCAGUGUUAAAGGAUCUACUGUAUAAUAAAGUUCCUGUUGUUUAC
Podarcis raffonei (Aeolian wall lizard) is the source of this 345-nucleotide long non-coding RNA. RefSeq lists it as uncharacterized. The transcript has 4 exons. Lineage: Eukaryota; Metazoa; Chordata; Lepidosauria; Squamata; Lacertidae. The record is from RefSeq and is a predicted model, not a curated record.